UGGGGAGUCGUCUAACGGUAGGACAGCUGACUCUGGAUCAGCCAGUUGGGGUUCGAAUCCCUGCUCCCCAG
This is a transfer RNA of Sphaerobacter thermophilus DSM 20745, 71 nucleotides long. It matches the Rfam family "tRNA". Rfam says of the family: Transfer RNA (tRNA) molecules are approximately 80 nucleotides in length. Their secondary structure includes four short double-helical elements and three loops (D, anti-codon, and T loops). The record is from Rfam. NCBI's taxonomy places the organism in Bacteria, Pseudomonadati, Thermomicrobiota, Thermomicrobia, Sphaerobacterales, Sphaerobacteraceae.